GAUGAACGCUGGCGGCGUGCCUAAUACAUGCCAGUCGAGCGAACGGACGAGAAGCUUGCUUCUCUGAUGUUAGCGGCGGACGGGUGAGUAACACGUGGAUAACCUACCUAUAAGACUGGGAUAACUUCGGGAAACCGGAGCUAAUACCGGAUGAUAUUUUGAACCGCAUGGUUCAAAAGUGAAAGACGGUCUUGCUGUCACUUAUAGAUGGAUCCGCGCUGCAUUAGCUAGUUGGUAAGGUAACGGCUUACCAAGGCAACGAUGCAUAGCCGACCUGAGAGGGUGAUCGGCCACACUGGAACUGAGACACGGUCCAGACUCCUACGGGAGGCAGCAGUAGGGAAUCUUCCGCAAUGGGCGAAAGCCUGACGGAGCAACGCCGAGUGAGUGAUGAAGGUCUUCGGAUCGUAAAACUCUGUUAUUAGGGAAGAACAUAUGUGUAAGUAACUGUGCACAUCUUGACGGUACCUAAUCAGAAAGCCACGGCUAACUACGUG
Molecule: ribosomal RNA, 497 nt
Filed under: uncultured bacterium
Lineage: Bacteria
Description: partial 16S ribosomal RNA
Rfam family: Bacterial small subunit ribosomal RNA
Source: RNAcentral